AAAGUUUGCAUCUCUGACUUAGUGGAGAAGCAUGGAUUUUAUCCGUCCACUAUUGAAAAGGUGGUUCUUGCAAAGAACAUCAUCACCAUCUUCCCAUCGCUUAAAGUCCAAAUUGAUGGCAGAGGAGAAGGCUUUGAGCAUUUCUUCGAUCCAGCAUCACACUCUGGGUUUUUGGAGAUGAGACUUCGCAAUAUCCGC
Molecule: long non-coding RNA, 198 nt
Organism: Perca fluviatilis (European perch)
Lineage: Eukaryota; Metazoa; Chordata; Actinopteri; Perciformes; Percidae
Exons: 3
Source: RefSeq, a predicted model, not a curated record